This 85-nucleotide transfer RNA is filed under the name Felis catus (domestic cat). It matches the Rfam family "tRNA". From Rfam's summary of the family: Transfer RNA (tRNA) molecules are approximately 80 nucleotides in length. The record is from Rfam by way of RNAcentral. Lineage: Eukaryota; Metazoa; Chordata; Mammalia; Carnivora; Felidae.
GCCUGGGUGGCUCAGUCAGUUGAGCGUCCGACUUCGGCUCAGGUCAUGAUCUCGCGGUCCGUGGGUUCGAGUCCCGCGUCGGGCU